Molecule: long non-coding RNA, 2955 nt
Filed under: Ananas comosus (pineapple)
Lineage: Eukaryota; Viridiplantae; Streptophyta; Magnoliopsida; Poales; Bromeliaceae
Description: long non-coding RNA (ACOM_LNC038831)
Source: RNAcentral
UUUUGGUUUCAUAUUAUACCUAAUGAUGAACAGAGAGAUAUGUAAAUGAAAAUGUAAAUGAUGUAAAUAACUAAAUGUUCAGUUAUUCAGUUGUAUAUAGUUCAGUGUUAAAAGUUUUAAAUUACAGUGAAUUUCAUGUAUAACUAGAUUACUAUCACUUGGAAUUGUUGCUUGCCUUCGUGCAAGCCAUGUAUAUUGAAAUGUUAUCCUGGGAAUUGUUUAUUUCUUUAUACAUGUACUCGUUGUGGUUGAGCCUUGGGCGGACAGAGGAGGUUCUGUCUGUUCGGCGUCUGUGUACGGGCCCGGAUCGAUCAAAUUGGCGAUAAUGGGACGUGACAUACGCCCUUUCCUCGCGCCGCCGCGCCGCUCGCGUGUGAACCUGUACCCCCAAAAACAACAACACAGGGGUGAGACUAUUGUCCAUAGUCGUCAGUGGGUACAGCCACCCAAGUGAAAAGCUCAACCCACCAGGUCCAAAGGAGGCACUGCAACAUGUUAGUCCAACAGAUAUAUAUAUAUAUAUAUAUAACAUCAUGCAAUACAUGUUCAUGCCUCACAAAUAUGCAAAUUAUGCAACUCUUAGUCAUUCUUUACCAUUAGCCUUUCUUUAGAAUUUGCUAUUCUUUAUUAUUAGCCAUUCUUUACUCUUUAUUCUUUAUUCUUUAUUCUUUAUUCUUUAUUCUUUAUUCUUUGUUCUUUAUUCUUUGCUAAGGGCACUCGCGCCUUAGGCUCAUCAUACACAUUUGCCAUUCUUUAUAACAUUAACAAGUCUUUCUCAAUUAUCACUCUUUCCUAAGGUUACAUUUACCUUAGCCAACUAUGCCACUCGACUCGGUCUUGAGUCAAUUCAUAAUGAAUACAAGAUCCACUUUCCAAUUCAUGAUUCCUUUUUGUUCUUUGUUCUUUAAUCUCACGGCUAACCCGGGGGUUUCGCCACAUUAACUUGCUUCACAUUAAGUCCAUCAUCGCAGGAACUCACCAGCUAGGACCGUCCUUACGGGUCUACUCCAACCCGGAUGCCAAACUCCGGAGCGCAUCGCCCGAGGGGGAGCGACCGCCCUCGAGCACGGAACUCAUAGCAAGUAUGAUCAAUCCUUAACUCUAAGGAUAUGUAGUUGGAUCAUGGUUUUACACUAACUCUAGUGUUCUUUACAUCACUUUAUGUUGCCACUCUAGCAAUCAUUGUUCUUUACAUCUCUUUUACUUUUGCUAACUCUAGCAAUCACGUUUUUCACAUUCCUUUACUUUAAGCUAUCUUUAGCUUUCACAUUCUUUAACUUUACACGUUCUUUAUGCCACAUUACAUUACAUUGUCUUUAGCCAUUAUCAUUAUUCUUUACAUCACAUUGCUUUGCCUUGUCUCAAGCCAUUAUCAUUAGGUUCUCACAUUACAUCUCAUGCAUACACAUAGAUUAUUUAGAUUCUUAAUCAUUCUAAUAAGCACGUGUACUCACAUCAUGCAACAUUACAUUAUUAUCAUCACAUUGUUUUACAUUAUCUUUAGCCAUUAUCAUUGUUCUUUACAUCACAUUUAUUCUUUGAUGUCCCACACUAACUCUAGUGUCCACUUUACCAUUUCGAAUGCCACUCGAUCUAUGUUCAACAUGCAUAUAUUUUGUCAUCCAUUGGUAGUCAUUACUUAGCAUUUUAUGCAUUCGUUAACAUUUACUACAUGCAUUCUCGGUUAGUACAAAUCUCAUACUUUCAUUUGACAUCUAUUUAGCAUUUCUAUAAUAUGCACAUAUAAAUUAACAUCAACUCAUGCAUUCAUUUGGCAUCUAUCUUUAUCAUGCAUUCUUAAUUAGCAUACUUUAUCAUGCAUUCUCAAAUAGCAUACUUUAAUCUUUAUCAUGCAUUCUUAAAUAGCAUACUUUAUCAUGCGUCAAUAGUAAACAUACUACACUUUAGCAUGGAAAGCGACCUAAUCGCUUCGGUGAGCACAACCCACCUCAUUUCGCAUUCCGAUUGCUUGUCGACACUUGCAAUCGGCCUCCCGCGGCACCCGUAACCCGGUUUGGCCCGAUCUCUCACGCGACCACCCGAACGGCCUCCAAUUCACGAUCCGAAAAUUAAAGGUCUUCGGUUAUGUGCCACGAAGCUUCAAAUCCAUUUUCAUGAAUUUACGAUAUCGCCUCGGCCCUCCCGGCGGACCCGAAGCCUAAACGUCCGUUUCUUUAAUAACUUCGCAACGGCUCGUCGGAUUGCCGAACCGUCUUCGCCAACGCGUUCGUUUACCUAGCAAUUAGGUUUAUAUAGGGUCAAUUUAGAUCAAACCCUUACAUUUUACAAAACCCCAUUCGGAGCCCUAAUAUGCUAUUAACCUCAAAAUAAUCCAAAAUUAAAUGGAUCAACAUGCUAACAAAGCUCAUUAGAGGCUAUUAGAAUACUUAAAGCUAAGGAUUAAGCCAAAUCCUAAAAGCUUACCUCAAUGUGAACGCCGCGACGACAACACACCGCUCCAACGGGCGCACGAAAGCUCAAUCCGUCGCCUCCAACGCGUUCGCAAGCAUAUUCUCCACCAACCCCGCGAAUUUGAGCGAGAAAUAUAGAGAAAUGAGAGAGAUCUCUAGAGAGAGAAAGGAGAGUUUCUCUCCUCUCUCCAUGUGUGCGUGAGGUGUGUGUGGGUGUGCACGGCUGAAGGAGGAAGAAGAAGCAUCAUGCUUCUAUUUAAUUACACCCCAACACUAUUCACCUCCAGGCAGCUUAAAAUCUGAUAACUUUCGCCGGAGCUCCCUGAAUCUCCGUUUGAGCUCAAACUUGACAGUCAUGUUCGGUUUUACUUAACUUAACAAGCUGACGAUCACUGGUUCAGUUUCGACCCCGUUUGGUCACUGAAAACUGUACCGAACUGCAAUCUUUAUCAGAUAGCUUUCGGAUUUUAUUUCUCACUCUAUGGGUGUCAGAAAAAUAUGAAACCUUAAAUCUAGCCUCAUAAAAAUAUUUCUGACAUCUCCG